Molecule: ribosomal RNA, 260 nt
Filed under: uncultured Oscillospiraceae bacterium
Lineage: Bacteria; Bacillati; Bacillota; Clostridia; Eubacteriales; Oscillospiraceae
Description: partial 16S ribosomal RNA
Rfam family: Bacterial small subunit ribosomal RNA
Source: RNAcentral
AAGCACUGGAUGGAGAGCGGCGGACUGGUGAGUAACGCGUGAGGAACCUGCCUCUAUGAGGGGGAUAACACUGGGAAACCAGUGCUAAUACCGCAUAAUGUACAGAGAGCGCAUGCUUUUUGUACCAAAGAUUUAUCGCAUAGAGAUGGCCUCGCGUCCGAUUAGCUAGUUGGAGGGGUAACGGCCCACCAAGGCGACGAUCGGUAGCCGAACUGAGAGGUUGAUCGGCCACAUUGGGACUGAGAUACGGCCCAGACUCC